GACAACGUGGCCGAGCGGUUAAGGCGAUUGACUAGAAUCAUUCUAAGACCUGUGUCUACUAUCAAUUGGAGUUUCUCCGCGUAGGUUCAAAUCCUGCCGUUGUCG
RNAcentral lists this transfer RNA (105 nucleotides) under Puccinia triticina. RNAcentral's name for it is "tRNA-Ser". It matches the Rfam family "tRNA". Rfam says of the family: Transfer RNA (tRNA) molecules are approximately 80 nucleotides in length. Their secondary structure includes four short double-helical elements and three loops (D, anti-codon, and T loops). The record is from RNAcentral. Lineage: Eukaryota; Fungi; Basidiomycota; Pucciniomycetes; Pucciniales; Pucciniaceae. RNAcentral also lists the same sequence under 1 other name.